This 379-nucleotide long non-coding RNA is filed under the name Homo sapiens (human). Its description in RNAcentral is "PREDICTED lncRNA (TCONS_00215687)". The record is from RNAcentral. Lineage: Eukaryota; Metazoa; Chordata; Mammalia; Primates; Hominidae.
GAACAAACUGCCCAGAGGGCCGCUGAGUCAUCCAGCCCCUCCUCUCCUUUCCCUCCCAGAACUGAGGAUCAGAGAAUUCAGGGCUGGAAGGAAGGUCUUGGGGCCAAAGCCUUGGUCUUUCGAAGGUAGUUCUUGCAUGUGGAGUGGUGGAAUGGGGUCUGGAGUUUGGGCCACACUGAGAUGCCAUUUCUCUGAUCAUCAUACCUGAUGCACAAUCCAAGGAGACGGCCCAGGGUCAUCUCUUCUGCCUGAAUAGCUGAGAGGAGUCCUGCAAUCUUAGAGCCAUUUUCCCAAGAAACCUGACCUAGAACAUACUCUCUCUUAAGAUUCAAAUAAACUGUUGUCAAGAACUGUAAAAGGUCUGAGAUUUUUAUCCUAC